This 757-nucleotide small RNA is filed under the name Histoplasma ohiense. RNAcentral's name for it is "hypothetical lncRNA". Lineage: Eukaryota; Fungi; Ascomycota; Eurotiomycetes; Onygenales; Ajellomycetaceae. The record is from RNAcentral.
CCUAUUAAGGUUAUCGAUUUGAAUGCCAACUGAUGUGUACGCUCUGUACAGGAUCCAGCGCGCGUGUGUAUACUUGCAUCUUCUUAUCAGAUUGUUCCCCAUCCAAGUUGCAACGUUAAUACCAAACGUCAAAGAUAGUAUCCAAAUUGGUGAACCUGUAUAUCUUAUGAUGCUUGGGUAGAUUCUUGAGAAGAAAUGCUAACUACUAAUAUCCUGUCAAAGUCAUCGAUGGAUAUUAUUAUUCUUCUUCCUCUUUCCUUUCCUGCUAAUUAAUUUGCCAGAGUUCCCAGCCCAGCCCCGGUUUAUGGAUAUGCGCCUGAAGGUGAAUUUCUGGGGGCAACUUACUUAUGCGAGCCCUUCUUCCCGCAGGCACCAGCAGAGCAAUUGAGUAUCCGAUGAUUGUGAUGAAUAUAUAUUGGAGAGCUUGCUUCGUUUCUUAACCGGUAAUACAUACUACUGCGUACCCUGUACCCUCCUGACCGCAGACUCUUUCCCGGCUGGAAGAAGAAAGAAAGAAUAUAAAAAGCUUGACGAUGAGGCUUCCAGUAUCUGUUAAAAUGUAGGAAGUAAUGAAUGAUUAAGAUUGAAGUGGUUGGUGGUCGAUUGAAAAGUUGAGUUAGACACUACAUAGGUAGGCGUUUCCUGUGUAUAGCUACAGUUAGACAUCCACAUUCGUGUCUACUAAGAUGCGGGGCGGAGGAUGAGAGAAGCCCCCGAAGCCAUCCAACAUUCAAUUUAUAGAUCAAUAGUGAAAACC